AGAUUGAACGCUGGCGGCGUGCCUAACACAUGCAAGUCGAGCGGUAACAGGUGUAGCAAUACAUGCUGACGAGCGGCGGACGGGUGAGUAACGCUUGGGAAUCUGCCUGUUAGUGGGGGACAACCCGGGGAAACUCGGGCUAAUACCGCAUACGCACUACGGUGGAAAGCCGGGGACCGCAAGGCCUGGCGCUAACAGAUGAGCCCAAGUCGGAUUAGCUAGUUGGUAGGGUAACGGCCUACCAAGGCGACGAUCCGUAACUGGUCUGAGAGGACGACCAGUCACACCGGAACUGAGACACGGUCCGGACUCCUACGGGAGGCAGCAGUGGGGAAUAUUGGACAAUGGGCGAAAGCCUGAUCCAGCGACGCCGCGUGGGUGAGAAGGCCUGCGGGUUGUAAAGCCUUCGGUGGGAAGAAAGCCUCGAGUUAACACCUCGGGUCUUGACGUAACCCAUUAAAGAAGCACCGGCUAACUCUGUGCCAGCAGCCGC
RNAcentral lists this ribosomal RNA (493 nucleotides) under uncultured bacterium. Its description in RNAcentral is "SSU rRNA". It matches the Rfam family "Bacterial small subunit ribosomal RNA", at positions 26 to 518 of the family's 1533-position model. The record is from RNAcentral.